GAUGAACGCUAGCGGCAGGCCUAACACAUGCAAGUCGAGGGGCAGCAUAAAGAUAGCUUGCUAUCUUGGUGGCGACCGGCGCACGGGUGCGUAACGCGUAUGCAACCUACCCUGUACUGAGGGAUAGCCCGGAGAAAUUCGGAUUAAGACCUCAUAGUAUAAUUGAAUCGCAUGGUUUGAUUUAUUAAAGGUUACGGUACAGGAUGGGCAUGCGUCCCAUUAGCUAGAUGGUGAGGUAACGGCUCACCAUGGCAACGAUGGGUAGGGGCCUGAGAGGGUGGUCCCCCACACUGGUACUGAGACACGGACCAGACACCUACGGGAGGCUG
This 329-nucleotide ribosomal RNA is filed under the name uncultured Bacteroidota bacterium. Its description in RNAcentral is "bacterial SSU rRNA". It matches the Rfam family "Bacterial small subunit ribosomal RNA", at positions 28 to 351 of the family's 1533-position model. The record is from RNAcentral. Lineage: Bacteria; Pseudomonadati; Bacteroidota.